This 253-nucleotide ribosomal RNA is filed under the name uncultured bacterium. RNAcentral's name for it is "partial 16S ribosomal RNA". It matches the Rfam family "Bacterial small subunit ribosomal RNA", at positions 524 to 776 of the family's 1533-position model. The record is from RNAcentral.
GACAGAGGGGGCAAGCGUUGCUCGGAAUUACUGGGCGUAAAGGGCGCGUAGGCGGAAUGGCAAGUCGGUCGUGAAAUCCUUCGGCUCAACCGAAGAACGUCGAUCGAAACUGCCGUUCUUGAGGAUUGCAGAGGAGACUGGAAUUCCCGGUGUAGCGGUGAAAUGUGUAGAGAUCGGGAGGAACACCGGUGGCGAAGGCGGGUCUCUGGGCAAUUCCUGACGCUGAGGCGCGAAAGCGUAGGGAGCAAACGGG